RNAcentral lists this ribosomal RNA (253 nucleotides) under uncultured bacterium. RNAcentral describes it as "partial 16S ribosomal RNA". It matches the Rfam family "Bacterial small subunit ribosomal RNA", at positions 524 to 776 of the family's 1533-position model. The record is from RNAcentral.
UACAGAGGGUGCAAGCGUUGUUCGGAAUUAUUGGGCGUAAAGGGCGCGUAGGCGGUGCUGUAAGUCUGUAGUGAAAUCUCUGGGCUCAACUCAGAGUCUGCUAUAGAAACUGCAGUGCUGGAGUGUGGGAGAGGUGAGUGGAAUUCCCGGUGUAGCGGUGAAAUGCGUAGAUAUCAGGAGGAACACCAAUGGCGAAGGCAGCUCGCUGGAACGGUACUGACGCUGAGGCGCGAAAGCGUGGGGAGCGAACAGG